CCUACGGGAGGCAGCAGUGAGGAAUAUUGGUCAAUGGCCGGAAGGCUGAACCAGCCAAGCCGCGUGAAGGACGAAGGUGCCAAGCAUUGUAAACUUCUUUUAUCAAGGGACAAAAUCAGGCUCGAGAGCCUGACCGAGGGUACUUGAAGAAAAAGCAUCGGCAAACUCCGUGCCAGCAGCCGCGGUAAUACGGGGGAUGCGAGCGUUAUCCGGAUUUAUUGGGUUUCAGGGGUGCGUAGGCGGACUGUUCAGUCAGCGGUAAAAGCCCGGGGCUAAACCCCGGAGAGCCGUUGAAACUGGCUGUCUUGAGAUGUCGAGAGGUAUGCGGAAUGCGCAGUGUAGCGGUGAAAUGCAUAGAUAUCACGCAGAACUCCGAUUGCGAAGGCAGCGUACCGGCGCCCAACUGACGCUGAAGCACGAAGGCGUGGGUAUCGAACAGGAUUAGAUACCCGAGUAGUC
This 459-nucleotide ribosomal RNA is filed under the name uncultured bacterium. RNAcentral describes it as "partial 16S ribosomal RNA". It matches the Rfam family "Bacterial small subunit ribosomal RNA", at positions 338 to 795 of the family's 1533-position model. The record is from RNAcentral.